GUUUAAUUCUGUUUUUUUUUUCCAGAUUAU
This 30-nucleotide small RNA is filed under the name Arabidopsis thaliana (thale cress). Its description in RNAcentral is "ATSL248920". The record is from RNAcentral. Lineage: Eukaryota; Viridiplantae; Streptophyta; Magnoliopsida; Brassicales; Brassicaceae.